Long non-coding RNA from Strigops habroptila (Kakapo), 409 nucleotides. RefSeq lists it as uncharacterized. The record is from RefSeq and is a predicted model, not a curated record. NCBI's taxonomy places the organism in Eukaryota, Metazoa, Chordata, Aves, Psittaciformes, Psittacidae. The transcript has 3 exons.
CACUGCUCGGGUCGGGCUGGGUAUCGGUCGGCGGGUGAGGAUACUCCCUAAAUGACCAGAAGAGCUCUGUUUCGGACCAGCUGUUACUGCUUGUCUGUCAGCUGUGGUUUCUGAAGGUUUUAACAGGCAGCCGAAGUUUGUGUGCUUUUCUAGCUUUUGUGGCAGUAAUAACUGAAGAUCUGCAACUGAAGAACUUAUAGAAAGAUGGUUUCCGGGGAGUCCUUCCAACUGCACCAAGUUUAGGAAAGCCGAAUCUGCUAAUGCUAAAAACAGCUGAGAAAGAGGGCUCACUGGUGACCAGAUAAACCAUCCAGGCAAUCCUGAGACUCUUGGCCUUGACUGAAAAAUUGAUGUAUCUGUGGGAAGUGUGUCAAGGUUAUGAUUUGAAAUAAAUGUGGUUAAGACCAGA